GCCGGGGUGGCUUAGGCUGGUUAUAGCGCUCGACUCAUAAUCGAGAGGCCGCGGGUUCAAGUCCCGCCCCCGGCA
This 75-nucleotide transfer RNA is filed under the name archaeon. RNAcentral describes it as "tRNA-Met". It matches the Rfam family "tRNA". Rfam says of the family: Transfer RNA (tRNA) molecules are approximately 80 nucleotides in length. Their secondary structure includes four short double-helical elements and three loops (D, anti-codon, and T loops). The record is from RNAcentral. RNAcentral also lists the same sequence under 1 other name.